AGAGUUUGAUCAUGGCUCAGGAUGAACGCUAGCUGGCAGGCCUAACACAUGCAAGUCGAACGGUAACAUGAGAGCUUGCUCUUGAUGACGAGUGGCGCACGGGUGCGUAACACGUAUGCAACUUACCCCAAACUGGAGAAUAGCCUUUGGAAAUGAAGAUUAAUACUCCAUAAUAUUACAGAGUGGCAUCACUUUGUUCUUAAAACUUCGGUGGUUUGGGAUAGGCAUGCGUCCUAUUAGUUAGUUGGUGAGGUAAUGGCUCACCAAGACUUCGAUAGGUAGGGGGCCUGAGAGGGUUAUCCCCCACACUGGUACUGAGACACGGACCAGACUCCUACGGGAGGCAGCAGUGAGGAAUAUUGGUCAAUGGACGAAAGUCUGAACCAGCCAUGCCGCGUGCAGGAUGAAUGCCCUAUGGGUUGUAAACUGCUUUUAUAUAGGAAGAAAAGCUUCUACGUGUAGAAGUCUGACGGUACUAUAAGAAUAAGGACCGGCUACUCCGUGCCAGCAGCCGCGGUAAUACGGAAGGGGCCAAGCGGUUAUCCGGAUUAUUGGGGUUUAAANGGGUCCGCAAGCNGGGAAAAAUAAGUCAGUGGUNNAAGCCUACAGCUUAACUGGUAAACUGCCAUUGAACUGGUUUUCNUGAGNNNUGAUUAANUGGCCCGAAANGUGUCAUGUACCGGNGAAAUGCAUUNAUUUGCCCCGAAANNCCANUGCAAAANCNGCUCCUAACUNUUCUGACCNUUGGGCCNAACUNUGGGACCAACGGGUUAACCNCGGNACCCCCCNAAAAANAUUCCCGGGCUNGAAAUUUNNGCCCNAAAANANAAAANCNC
Molecule: ribosomal RNA, 836 nt
Filed under: uncultured Bacteroidota bacterium
Lineage: Bacteria; Pseudomonadati; Bacteroidota
Description: uncultured Bacteroidetes bacterium partial 16S ribosomal RNA
Rfam family: Bacterial small subunit ribosomal RNA
Source: RNAcentral